UGAGGUUCUCCUUUUAAUUGUAAGGAAGGAGACUAACAGGGAAUCAGGUGUGAAUCCUGAACAGAGCCCGCUGCUGUGAGCUCCCGCAACACAUCGUUUCACACAUUGCCACUGGACGAAGUCACUUUUUCUAUUCAAGUCGACUACAUCAAUCAACAACCGGGAAGGCGUGAAACAAGAUGGGGAGCAAAGUCAGAAGACCUGCCUCUACA
RNAcentral lists this non-coding RNA (212 nucleotides) under human gut metagenome. The record is from RNAcentral.